Long non-coding RNA from Ornithorhynchus anatinus (platypus), 1499 nucleotides. RefSeq lists it as uncharacterized. NCBI's taxonomy places the organism in Eukaryota, Metazoa, Chordata, Mammalia, Monotremata, Ornithorhynchidae. The transcript has 2 exons. The record is from RefSeq and is a predicted model, not a curated record.
GCCCAAGGCCACACGACAGGCAGAUGGCAGAGCCCGGAUUAGAAUCUUGGGAAGCAACUGCAGUUGUGAGACCAGUGAGGCAUGCAAGAUUAAGGAAAGGGAGUUCAUUCUGUGAGCACAGAAAUUUGUUGUGAUAUCAAUUAUUUAUUAAGCCCGUUCCGUGCAUCAAAGCACUGUGCUAAAGGGUGGGCAAAUGCAGGUAAAUCAAAUUAGACACAAUCACAAUCUGAGAGGGAGGGAGAGCAAGGAAUCUCGAUCCCCAUUUUACAGAAGAGGAAACUGAAGGUGGUUAAGUGUCUUCAGACUGCAAGCUACUUGUGGGCAGGGAAUAUGUCUACCAACUGUAUUAUACUGCAGUCUCCCAAGUGCUUAGUACAGUGCUUUGAACACGUUAAGAGCUCAGUAACUACGGUUGAUGGAUUCACUGACUUGCUCAUGGUCAUACAGCAAGACAAUGGCAGAGUUGGGAUGAAAACCUGGGUCUCUUGACUCUCAAUCCCGGGCUCCUUCCACAAGGCCACACUGCCUCACCUUUAGGCAGAAGACCGUCACUUACAGUUCUUACAACUGCUUUUUACACACAACGGUGCGGCAAAGGGCUACCUUCACAUUCCCAUAGCAGUAACUGGGAUACUGAUGGUGCAUAAGUCUUGUUGGCCACAUCUCUGGAUACGAUCCCAACAUUGAUAGCAUCGGCCUCAAAAAUGAAGGACAAUUCACUCCCAAGAGCAAUCUCGGUUGAGGAAAACUCUUGGUGCAGUGUAAAACCCCAGCCGAAAUAUGGAUCUUUAAAACAUCUGUGUCUUACUCGUCUUCCAGACAAGGGGUAAAUUCAAUUUUUUUUUCAGAAACCUAUACUUGUAAGUGCCCCUGCAAUUUUGAUGUCAUUUUCACUACCGUUCACAGCAAGAAGGGAAUAUAGCUGAAAUCCAGUAAUUAUUUUUUGUUUUACUCAGUAUCAAAGAGCUACAACAAGAAAUAUUUCCGAUAGGCCCAUGUCUCAUUUAAGACAACAAUGUACCUUUGAUUGCCUGGUUACAUUUUACAGUCAACGGCUACACUGAUUAAAAUUCAAAGGUGGAAAUAAGGGCAAUCACAUCUUAGAGGGCAGCACCAAAACUCCUCUGAAGGUACUUUUAAAAGUUUGAUAAACAAUAGAGAACAAACUGUCAUCCUGAAACUCUCAUGUCACUAUUAUACCCUUCUGAGUUUCUCCAACAUGGUGAAAGAUUCAAUAAACUUCUCGGUUUCUUUUGAUUGUUUUUUCCAUCACAGAUUCAGUCUAUCUCCAAUCUGGAUUAGUCUUAAAUUCUACCAACGGGAAGGAUCACACAGACUUUUCCAGGUGCUAACGAGAAGUGAAAGAACCAACCAAAUGGGAGGGAAGAAGAGAAGCAAGAAAGGAAUUGGAUAAUCACACCCUUGUAUCAAUUGAGAGUUGGCUGGAAUACCAUGGUGGAGUAAGGAGAAUAAAAUACUUCUUUAAAAAUUGUGCAAAA